This 253-nucleotide ribosomal RNA is filed under the name uncultured bacterium. RNAcentral describes it as "partial 16S ribosomal RNA". It matches the Rfam family "Bacterial small subunit ribosomal RNA", at positions 524 to 776 of the family's 1533-position model. The record is from RNAcentral.
GACGUAGGGUGCAAGCGUUGUCCGGAAUUAUUGGGCGUAAAGAGUUCGUAGGCGGUUAUUUAAGUCUGGUGUUAAAGACGGGAGCUUAACUCCCGCAUGGCAUUGGAAACUGGAUGGCUAGAGUGUGGUAGAGGUCUCGGGAAUUCCAGGUGUAGCGGUGAAAUGCGUAGAUAUCUGGAGGAACACCGGUGGCGAAAGCGCGAGACUGGGCCAUAACUGACGCUGAGGAGCGAAAGCGUGGGGAGCGAACAGG